AGAGUUUGAUCCUGGCUCAGGACGAACGCUGGCGGCGUGCUUAACACAUGCAAGUCGAGCGAUGAAGCUUCCUUCGGGAAGUGGAUUAGCGGCGGACGGGUGAGUAACACGUGGGUAACCUGCCUCAAAGUGGGGGAUAGCCUUCCGAAAGGAAGAUUAAUACCGCAUAAUAUAAGAGAAUCGCAUGAUUUUCUUAUCAAAGAUUUAUUGCUUUGAGAUGGACCCGCGGCGCAUUAGCUAGUUGGUAAGGUAACGGCUUACCAAGGCAACGAUGCGUAGCCGACCUGAGAGGGUGAUCGGCCACAUUGGAACUGAGACACGGUCCAGACUCCUACGGGAGGCAGCAGUGGGGAAUAUUGCGCAAUGGGGGAAACCCUGACGCAGCAACGCCGCGUGGGUGAUGAAGGUCUUCGGAUUGUAAAGCCCUGUUUUCUAGGACGAUAAUGACGGUACUAGAGGAGGAAGCCACGGCUAACUACGUGCCAGCAGCCGCGGUAAUACGUAGGUGGCGAGCGUUGUCCGGAUUUACUGGGCGUAAAGGGUGCGUAGGCGGAUGUUUAAGUGGGAUGUGAAAUCCCCGGGCUUAACCUGGGGGCUGCAUUCCAAACUGGAUAUCUAGAGUGCAGGAGAGGAAAGCGGAAUUCCUAGUGUAGCGGUGAAAUGCGUAGAGAUUAGGAAGAACACCAGUGGCGAAGGCGGCUUUCUGGACUGUAACUGACGCUGAGGCACGAAAGCGUGGGUAGCAAACAGGAUUAGAUACCCUGGUAGUCCACGCCGUAAACGAUGGAUACUAGGUGUAGGGGGUAUCAACUCCCCCUGUGCCGCAGUUAACACAAUAAGUAUCCCGCCUGGGGAGUACGGUCGCAAGAUUAAAACUCCAAGGAAUUGACGGGGGGCCGCACAAGCAGCGGAGCAUGUGGUUUUUAAUUCAAAGCCACGCAAAAAACCUUACCUGGACUUGACAUCCCUUGCAUAGCCUAGAGAUAGGUGAAGCCCUUCGGGGCAAGGAGACAGGUGGUGCAUGGUUGUCGUCAGCUCGUGUCGUGAGAUGUUAGGUUAAGUCCUGCAACGAGCGCAACCCUUGUUAUUAGUUGCUACCAUUAAGUUGAGCACUCUAAUGAGACUGCCUGGGUAACCAGGAGGAAGGUGGGGAUGACGUCAAAUCAUCAUGCCCCUUAUGUCCAGGGCUACACACGUGCUACAAUGGUAGGUACAAUAAGACGCAAGACCGUGAGGUGGAGCAAAACUUAUAAAACCUAUCUCAGUUCGGAUUGUAGGCUGCAACUCGCCUACAUGAAGCUGGAGUUGCUAGUAAUCGCGAAUCAGAAUGUCGCGGUGAAUACGUUCCCGGGCCUUGUACACACCGCCCGUCACACCAUGAGAGCUGGUAACACCCGAAGUCCGUGAGGUAACCGUAAGGAACCAGCGGCCGAAGGUGGGAUUAGUGAUUGGGGUGAAGUCGUAACAAGGUAGCCGUAGGAGAACCUGCGGCUGGAUCACCUCC
This 1504-nucleotide ribosomal RNA is filed under the name Clostridium botulinum Bf. Its description in RNAcentral is "bacterial SSU rRNA". It matches the Rfam family "Bacterial small subunit ribosomal RNA". Lineage: Bacteria; Bacillati; Bacillota; Clostridia; Eubacteriales; Clostridiaceae. The record is from RNAcentral.